GAGUAGUUUUUGCUCUUGCUAACUUUGUCUUGCAGGUACUUUAUGUUAAAAAUUAUUUUGUUCAUCUAAAGUGCCAAA
Small nuclear RNA from Cannabis sativa, 78 nucleotides. RefSeq annotates it as U7 small nuclear RNA. Lineage: Eukaryota; Viridiplantae; Streptophyta; Magnoliopsida; Rosales; Cannabaceae. The record is from RefSeq and is a predicted model, not a curated record. The transcript has a single exon.